RNAcentral lists this ribosomal RNA (253 nucleotides) under uncultured bacterium. Its description in RNAcentral is "partial 16S ribosomal RNA". It matches the Rfam family "Bacterial small subunit ribosomal RNA", at positions 524 to 776 of the family's 1533-position model. The record is from RNAcentral.
UACGGAGGGUGCAAGCGUUAAUCGGAAUUACUGGGCGUAAAGCGCACGCAGGCGGUUUGUUAAGUCAGAUGGGAAAUCCCCGAGCUUAACUUGGGAACUGCAUUUGAAACUGGCAAGCUAGAGUCUUGUAGAGGGGGGUAGAAUUCCAGGUGUAGCGGUGAAAUGCGUAGAGAUCUGGAGGAAUACCGGUGGCGAAGGCGGCCCCCUGGACAAAGACUGACGCUCAGGUGCGAAAGCGUGGGGAGCAAACAGG